RNAcentral lists this ribosomal RNA (523 nucleotides) under uncultured Algoriphagus sp. Its description in RNAcentral is "bacterial SSU rRNA". It matches the Rfam family "Bacterial small subunit ribosomal RNA", at positions 1 to 526 of the family's 1533-position model. The record is from RNAcentral. Lineage: Bacteria; Pseudomonadati; Bacteroidota; Cytophagia; Cytophagales; Cyclobacteriaceae.
UAGAGUUUGAUCAUGGCUCAGGAUGAACGCUAGCGGCAGGCCUAAUACAUGCAAGUCGAGCGGCAAGUUGAGUAGUAAUACUUGACCUAGAGCGGCGCACGGGUGCGUAACGCGUAUGCAACCUACCUUUUACUGGGGGAUAGCCCGGAGAAAUCUGGAUUAAUACCCCAUGGUACCUAUUGGUCGAAUGACUGAUAGUUUAAAGAUUUAUCGGUAAGAGAUGGGCAUGCGUCUGAUUAGCUAGUUGGCGGGGUAACGGCCCACCAAGGCGACGAUCAGUAGGGGUUCUGAGAGGAAGGUCCCCCACACUGGCACUGAGAUACGGGCCAGACUCCUACGGGAGGCAGCAGUAGGGAAUAUUGGGCAAUGGUCGCAAGACUGACCCAGCCAUGCCGCGUGCAGGAAGACGGCCCUCUGGGUUGUAAACUGCUUUUAUCUGGGAAGAAAAAGUCCAUGCGUGGAAAAUUGCCGGUACCAGAUGAAUAAGCACCGGCUAACUCCGUGCCAGCCGCCGCGGUAAUUC